AGUGGCGAACGGGUGAGUAAUGCAUCGGAACGUACCGUGUAGUGGGGGAUAACGUAGCGAAAGUUACGCUAAUACCGCAUACGCCCUGAGGGGGAAAGUGGGGGACCGCAAGGCCUCACGCUAUAUGAGCGGCCGAUGUCGGAUUAGCUAGUUGGUAGGGUAAAGGCCUACCAAGGCGACGAUCCGUAGCGGGUCUGAGAGGAUGAUCCGCCACACUGGGACUGAGACACGGCCCACACUCCUACGGGAGGCAGCAGUGGGGAAUUUUGGACAAUGGGCGCAAGCCUGAUCCAGCCAUGCCGCGUGAGUGAAGAAGGCCUUCGGGUUGUAAAGCUCUUUCAGACGGAAAGAAAUCUCUCGGGAUAACACCCUGGGAGGAUGACGGUACCGUAAAAAGAAGCACCGGCUAACUACGUGCCAGCAGCCGCGGUAAUACGUAGGGUGCGAGCGUUAAUCGGAAUUACUGGGCGUAAAGCGUACGCAGGCGGUGAUGUAAGACAGAUGUGAACUCCCCGCGCUCAACCUGGGAACUGCGUUUGUGACUGCAUCACUCGAGUACGGCAGAGGGGGGAUGGAAUUCCGCGUGUAGCAGUGAAAUGCGUAGAUAUGCGGAGGAACACCGGAUGGCGAACGUUAUCCCCCGUGGGUCAGUACUGUCGCUCAUGCACGGAAGCGUGGA
Molecule: ribosomal RNA, 679 nt
Filed under: uncultured Zoogloea sp.
Lineage: Bacteria; Pseudomonadati; Pseudomonadota; Betaproteobacteria; Rhodocyclales; Zoogloeaceae
Description: bacterial SSU rRNA
Rfam family: Bacterial small subunit ribosomal RNA
Source: RNAcentral